RNAcentral lists this transfer RNA (73 nucleotides) under Clostridium sp. RNAcentral describes it as "tRNA-Thr". It matches the Rfam family "tRNA". From Rfam's summary of the family: Transfer RNA (tRNA) molecules are approximately 80 nucleotides in length. RNAcentral also lists the same sequence under 3 other names. The record is from RNAcentral. Lineage: Bacteria; Bacillati; Bacillota; Clostridia; Eubacteriales; Clostridiaceae.
GCCGAUAUGGCUCAAUUGGCAGAGCAGCUGAUUUGUAAUCAGCAGGUUGACGGUUCGAGUCCGCCUAUCGGCU